GACGAACGCUGGCGGCGUGCUUAACACAUGCAAGUCGAACGGAAAGGCACUGCUUUUGUGGGGUGCUCGAGUGGCGAACGGGUGAGUAACACGUGAGUAACCUGCCCUUGACUUUGGGAUAACUUCAGGAAACUGGGGCUAAUACCGGAUAGGAGCUCCUGCUGCAUGGUGGGGGUUGGAAAGUUUCGGCGGUUGGGGAUGGACUCGCGGCUUAUCAGCUUGUUGGUGGGGUAGCGGCUUACCAAGGCUUUGACGGGUAGCCGGCCUGAGAGGGUGACCGGCCACAUUGGGACUGAGAUACGGCCCAGACUCCUACGGGAGGCAGCAGUGGGGAAUAUUGCACAAUGGGCGGAAGCCUGAUGCAGCAACGCCGCGUGCGGGAUGACGGCCUUCGGGUUGUAAACCGCUUUCGCCUGUGACGAAGCGUGAGUGACGGUAAUGGGUAAAGAAGCACCGGCUAACUACGUG
This 468-nucleotide ribosomal RNA is filed under the name uncultured bacterium. Its description in RNAcentral is "partial 16S ribosomal RNA". It matches the Rfam family "Bacterial small subunit ribosomal RNA", at positions 28 to 507 of the family's 1533-position model. The record is from RNAcentral.